This 69-nucleotide transfer RNA is filed under the name Marmota monax (woodchuck). It matches the Rfam family "tRNA". Rfam says of the family: Transfer RNA (tRNA) molecules are approximately 80 nucleotides in length. Their secondary structure includes four short double-helical elements and three loops (D, anti-codon, and T loops). Lineage: Eukaryota; Metazoa; Chordata; Mammalia; Rodentia; Sciuridae. The record is from Rfam by way of RNAcentral.
GGAGUUGUGGCUUAGUGGUAGAGCACUUGCCUAGUAUGUAUGAGGCACUGGGUUUGAUUCUCAGCACCA